AUGCCACUAGUCUUACAGGCAAAAGGGGCAAAAAUAGGGUGGGCAGAAGGAGGGAACAGUCACAGUAGUUGUGAGUAUGUUCUGUAUUUCAAGAUUUCUCUCUGUCUCAGGGGAACGAGUCAGAAAGGAGAAGGCAGAGCCUGCCUCCAGCUGAACUCUUUGAGAUUGGCCAGAUUCAACGUGUUACAAACAAACAUAUUCCACCUGUUACAACAAUCUGGCAUAUUACUUCCUUGAUACGUGAUGAUACAAUACCUCUCAGGUUUGCUGAGUAGCAAAGAGAAAUGGAAACAUUAACAGUCCAAUUGCUUGAGAUUUUUUGAGAGGCCAAAGGAGCAGCAAAAUACAUGUUGGGGAAAAAGCUUGAAUUGGCAGGUAGGUAGAUUAGCUGACCUAUUAGUUCUUUUCUAUUGCAAACUUCUAAGAUUUUAUGUGGGGAAAAUUCCUUUUCAACCCACGCUGGCAAUCUGUUUAUGUUCUGAAGUAUGAUGAUUGACAUCCCUUUUAACUUUUAACCUAGAGAAUGUCUCUGCAAGUGUUAUUCCUACAUAUAAAUGUCUAAUGCUUUUAAUAAAAAAAAAAAGUCUCUCA
RNAcentral lists this long non-coding RNA (591 nucleotides) under Zonotrichia albicollis (white-throated sparrow). RNAcentral's name for it is "lncRNA (ENSZALG00000004836.1)". Lineage: Eukaryota; Metazoa; Chordata; Aves; Passeriformes; Passerellidae. The record is from RNAcentral.